CGGGCGACGCGCCGGUCUAAGUCCCUUGGAACGGGGCGUCAUAGAGGGUGAGAAUCCCGUAUGCGACCGGUGACCGAGCCCAGGUGAAACUCCUUCGACGAGUCGAGUUGUUUGGGAAUGCAGCUCAAAAUGGGUGGUAAAUUUCAUCUAAAGCUAAAUACCGGCCAGAGACCGAUAGCGCACAAGUAGAGUGAUCGAAAGAUGAAAAGCACUUUGGAAAGAGAGUCAAAAAGUACGUGAAAUUGUUGAAAGGGAAGCGCUUGCAACCAGACCUGCCCGUAGAUGAUCAACCGUCCUUUUGGACGGUGCACUCGUCUGCGAUCAGGCCAGCAUCGGUUCGGACGGCCGGAUAAAGGCCUUGGGAACGUAGCUCCUCUCGGGGAGUGUUAUAGCCCUCGGUGCAAUGCGGCCAGCCUGGAUCGAGGAUCGCGCUUCGGCUAGGAUGCUGGCGUAAUGGUUGUAAGCGGCCCGUCUUGAAACACGGACCAAGGAGUCUAACAUCUAUGCGAGUGUUUGGGUGUCAAACCCCUACGCGUAAUGAAAGUGAACGGAGGUGGGAACCCUUCGCGGGGCGCACCAUCGACCGAUCCAGAUGUCUUCGGAUGGAUUUGAGUACGAGCAUAACUGUUGGGACCCGAAAGAUGGUGAACUAUGCCUGAAUAGGGUGAAGCCAGAGGAAACUCUGGUGGAGGC
RNAcentral lists this ribosomal RNA (693 nucleotides) under Xanthocarpia sp. SK-2014. RNAcentral describes it as "eukaryotic LSU rRNA". It matches the Rfam family "Eukaryotic large subunit ribosomal RNA", at positions 165 to 874 of the family's 3401-position model. The record is from RNAcentral. Lineage: Eukaryota; Fungi; Ascomycota; Lecanoromycetes; Teloschistales; Teloschistaceae.